GGAAGGAUCAUUAACGAAGUUGGAUAGAGUAUUUGUGAAGCAAGAUUAAUUUACGAUGAAUUAAGAAAUAGAGUAUAACUUUUAACAAUGGAUCUCUAGGCUCUCGCAACGAUGAAGAACGUAGUGAAGUGCGAUAACUAGUGUGAAUUGCAUUAUCUUGUGAAACAUUGAGUCUUUGAACGCAAAUUGCACUGUGGGGAACCACAGUAUGAGUGAGUGAGUAUUGAGAAGACUGAGACGGGGUGCGGCUGCGAGGCCGGGCGGCGUUGGAGUAUGACGGUUGACGCGGUCACUGUUUAAAGAAAUGAGCGGUCUGCUAGGGCGCUGAUCUGUGAUGAGAGUUUCAGGUUUGUGUCUGAGGGGGCGGCUGGGGGAACAGGGGGUGUGGCUACGUGCGGAGCUGAGGCGGUGCACGGGGGGGUCAGGCUUCCGAGAUCGCAAUCUCACUUCACUCAAGAAGACCCGCUGAACUUAAGCAUAUCAGUAAGCGGAGGAAAAGAAACUAACUAGGAUUCCCUCAGUAACGGCGAGUGAAGCGGGAAGAGCUCAAAUUUGGAAUCCGUAACAGGAGUUGUAAUUGAUAGGGCGGGAGGCAUGCAGCAGCAGCAGGGAGCAAGUUUCCUGGAAGGGAGCAUCGCAGAGGGUGAGAAUCCCGUGGCUCCAGGCUGUGGCUGUGCGGCACCGGUCCGACGAGUCGGGUUGUUUGGGAUUGCAGCCCUAAAUUGGUGGUAUACUCCAUCUAAAGCUAAAUACAGGCGAGAGACCGAUAGCGAACAAGUACCGUGAGGGAAAGAUGAAAAGGACUUUGAAAAGAGGGUUAAAAGUGCGUGAAAUUGUUAAAAGGGAAGCGAUUAGUUUGUGCGGGGUGCAGCGGGAGCUGUGAGCGGGGGUGCUGUGCAGAGGGUCAUUCCCUGUGUGGUGCUGAGCAACAGAGGAAGCUGGACGGGGCAGAGAUAGUUUGGGGUACAGGAGGCGAGCGCAGAAGGUGAUUCUGGGAGUGAUUCCGGGAAGUUAAGCUGCGCGGGGCCGCUGUGCUGCAGACUGUGGUCUGGCAAUGCAGGAACUAACCGACCCGUCUUGAAACACGGACCAAGGAGUCUACCGUGGGUGCGAGUAAAUGGGUGGAAAGCCUACUUGCGGAAUGAAAGUGAGUGGCGGGAAGCGGGGCUGGUGCAUGCAUCGGCGCCGCGGCACCGCCCGCCGGUUGAGACGCUACAGCGGAUUGUACCGAGUCGCAGCAUCCAUGGUGGGACCCGAAAGAUGGUGAACUAUGCCUGGGUAGGAUGAAGCCAGAGGAAACUCUGGUGGAGGUCCGUCGCGGUUCUGACGUGCAAAUCGAUCGUUGAACCUGGGUAUAGGGGCGAAAGACUAAUCGAACCAUCUAGUAGCUGGUUCCCUC
This 1399-nucleotide unclassified non-coding RNA is filed under the name uncultured fungus. RNAcentral describes it as "sequence contains 18S rRNA gene, ITS1, 5.8S rRNA gene, ITS2, 28S rRNA gene". The stretch from base 439 to 1399 matches the Rfam family "Eukaryotic large subunit ribosomal RNA", at positions 1 to 961 of the family's 3401-position model. Lineage: Eukaryota; Fungi. The record is from RNAcentral.